AGAGUUUGAUUCUGGCUCAGGACGAACGCUGGCGGCGUGCUUAACACAUGCAAGUCGAGCGGAAAGGCCCUUCGGGGUACUCGAGCGGCGAACGGGUGAGUAACACGUGAGUAACCUGCCCUAGGCUCUGGGAUAACUGUCGGAAACGAUGGCUAAUACCGGAUAUUCAGGCAUGAUCGCAUGAUUGUGUUUGGAAAGUUUUUCGGCUUGGGAUGGGCUCGCGGCCUAUCAGCUUGUUGGUGGGGUGAUGGCCUACCAAGGCUUCGACGGGUAGCCGGCCUGAGAGGGCGACCGGCCACACUGGGACUGAGACACGGCCCAGACUCCUACGAGAGGCAGCAGUGGGGAAUAUUGCACAAUGGGCGAAAGCCUGAUGCAGCGACGCCGCGUGAGGGAUGACGGCCUUCGGGUUGUAAACCUCUUUCAGCAGGGACGAAGCGGAAGUGACGGUACCUGCAGAAGAAGCGCCGGCCAACUACGCGCCAGCAGCCGCGGUAAGACGUAGGGCGCGAGCGUUGUCCGGAUUUAUUGGGCGUAAAGAGCUCGUAGGCGGCUCGUUGCGUCAACCGUGAAAACCCGGGGCUUAACUUCGGGCUUGCGGUUGAUACGGGCGGGCUGGAGUUCGGUAGGGGAGACUGGAAUUCCUGGUGUAGCGGUGAAAUGCGCAGAUAUCAGGAGGAACACCGGUGGCGAAGGCGGGUCUCUGGGCCGAUACUGACGCUGAGGAGCGAAAGCGUGGGGAGCGAACAGGAUUAGAUACCCUGGUAGUCCACGCUGUAAACGUUGGGCGCUAGGUGUGGGGGGCCUCUCCGGUUUCCUGUGCCGUAGCUAACGCAUUAAGCGCCCCGCCUGGGGAGUACGGCCGCAAGGCUAAACUCAAAUGAAUUGACGGG
Molecule: ribosomal RNA, 893 nt
Filed under: uncultured Actinomycetes bacterium
Lineage: Bacteria; Bacillati; Actinomycetota; Actinomycetes
Description: bacterial SSU rRNA
Rfam family: Bacterial small subunit ribosomal RNA
Source: RNAcentral